AGAACGAACGCUGGCGGCAUGCCUAACACAUGCAAGUCGAACGCUCUUGGGGCUUCGGUCUCAGGGGAGUGGCGCACGGGUGAGUAGCGCGUGGGAACCUGCCCUGUUGUGGGGGAUAACCGAGGGAAACUUCGGCUAAUACCGCAUAAGCCGGUUGUCUUGAAGGAGAUGGCCGGGAAAGAUUUAUCGCGACAGGAGGGGCCCGCGUCGGAUUAGCUAGUUGGUGGGGUAACGGCCCACCAAGGCGGUGAUCCGUAGCUGGUCUGAGAGGAUGAUCAGCCACACUGGGACUGAGACACGGCCCAGACUCCUACGGAGGCAGCAGUGGGGAAUAUUGGACAAUGGGGGCAACCCUGAUCCAGCAAUGCCGCGUGAGUGAUGAAGGCCUUAGGGUUGUAAAGCUCUUUCGCCCGCGACGAUGAUGACGGUAGCGGGAGAAGAAGCCCGGCUAACUUCGUGCCAGCAGCCGC
Molecule: ribosomal RNA, 470 nt
Filed under: uncultured bacterium
Lineage: Bacteria
Description: SSU rRNA
Rfam family: Bacterial small subunit ribosomal RNA
Source: RNAcentral